GGCGCAUUCGUCUAGAGGCCCAGGACACAGCCCUCUCAAGGCUGAGACACGAGUUCGAAUCUCGUAUGCGCUA
This 73-nucleotide transfer RNA is filed under the name Chloroflexota bacterium. Its description in RNAcentral is "Chloroflexi bacterium (anaerobic digester metagenome) tRNA-Glu". It matches the Rfam family "tRNA". Rfam says of the family: Transfer RNA (tRNA) molecules are approximately 80 nucleotides in length. Their secondary structure includes four short double-helical elements and three loops (D, anti-codon, and T loops). RNAcentral also lists the same sequence under 1 other name. Lineage: Bacteria; Bacillati; Chloroflexota. The record is from RNAcentral.